RNAcentral lists this ribosomal RNA (758 nucleotides) under Comamonas sp. Bz02. RNAcentral's name for it is "bacterial SSU rRNA". It matches the Rfam family "Bacterial small subunit ribosomal RNA", at positions 31 to 782 of the family's 1533-position model. Lineage: Bacteria; Pseudomonadati; Pseudomonadota; Betaproteobacteria; Burkholderiales; Comamonadaceae. The record is from RNAcentral.
AGACGCUGGCGGCAUGCUUUACCAUGCAAGUCGAACGGCAGCACGGACUUCGGUCUGGUGGCGAGUGGCGAACGGGUGAGUAAUACAUCGUGAACGUGCCUAGUAGUGGGGGAUAACUACUCGAAAGAGUAGCUAAUACUGCAUGAGAUCUACGGAUGAAAGCAGGGGACCCUCGGGCCUUGUGCUACUAGAGCGGCUGAUGGCAGAUUAGGUAGUUGGUGGGAUAAAAGCUUACCAAGCCUGUGAUCUGUAGCUGGUCUGAGAGGACGACCAGCCACACUGGGACUGAGACACGGCCCAGACUCCUACCGGAGGCAGCAGUGGGGAAUUUUGGACAAUGGGCGAAAGCCUGAUCCAUGAAUGCCGCGUGCAGGAUGAAGGCCCUCGGGUUGUAAACUGCUUUUGUACGGAACGAAAAGCCUGAAGCUAAUAUCCUCGGGUCAUGACGGUACCCUAAGAAUAAGCACCGGCUAACUACGUGCCAGCAGCCGCGGUAAUACGUAGGGUGCAAGCGUUAAUCGGAAUUACUGGGUCGUAAAGCGUGCGCAGGCGGUUUUGUAAGACAGUGGUGAAAUCCCCGGGCUCAACCUGGGAACUGCCAUUGUGACUGCAAAGCUGGAGUGCGGCAUAGGGGGAAUGGAAUUCCGCGUGUAGCAUUGAAAUGCGUAGAUCUGCGGAGGAACACCGAUCGCGAAUGCCAUCCCCUGGGCCUGCACUGACGCUCAUGCACGAAAGCGUGGGGAGCAAACAGGAUUAGA